This 404-nucleotide ribosomal RNA is filed under the name Klebsiella sp. BIGb0138. Its description in RNAcentral is "bacterial SSU rRNA". It matches the Rfam family "Bacterial small subunit ribosomal RNA", at positions 1132 to 1533 of the family's 1533-position model. Lineage: Bacteria; Pseudomonadati; Pseudomonadota; Gammaproteobacteria; Enterobacterales; Enterobacteriaceae. The record is from RNAcentral.
CGGGAACUCAAAGGAGACUGCCAGUGAUAAACUGGAGGAAGGUGGGGAUGACGUCAAGUCAUCAUGGCCCUUACGAGUAGGGCUACACACGUGCUACAAUGGCAUAUACAAAGAGAAGCGACCUCGCGAGAGCAAGCGGACCUCAUAAAGUAUGUCGUAGUCCGGAUUGGAGUCUGCAACUCGACUCCAUGAAGUCGGAAUCGCUAGUAAUCGUAGAUCAGAAUGCUACGGUGAAUACGUUCCCGGGCCUUGUACACACCGCCCGUCACACCAUGGGAGUGGGUUGCAAAAGAAGUAGGUAGCUUAACCUUCGGGAGGGCGCUUACCACUUUGUGAUUCAUGACUGGGGUGAAGUCGUAACAAGGUAACCGUAGGGGAACCUGCGGUUGGAUCACCUCCUUACC